GGCACUGGCUGAUUACUCUUCGUGACACAGGACUUCUUAUUCAUGCUCUGGAUUGUUCUCGUCCAUUCCAGUUCCUGCACGACCUUUCGCCUACCUGCCCGGUAUAGUCUUCCUCCUGGCUCAGGAAUAUAUCUGUGGCGUCAAUACACCUUUACUUUCGCAAGCCGCGUCAUGUGUAGCGGGACACCUAGACGGCCUUGUAACAUACUGCCCGCAACAAAAGGAAUAAAGAGAAGACACGAAGUGCUUGAUUGAGUUCUCAUCGCAAGAUGGUGAUUAGACUGAAGUGACAGUUGCUCGUCCCCAGACAGUCCAGAGAUCCAACGUCUGUAACAGCUCAGGAGGUGCCCUGCUCUGCCUUGAAUCUUCCGGGACAUGGAGCAGAGAGAGUAAGAAGCAUAUUCAAAGCAACCUUCUCUUGACAUCCUUCAUCUAUCACAGUGAUGUUUAGGCCAUUGACUUCUUCACAACCAUUAUCUUUCUUGUUUUGAAAACCAUCUUUUUGUACAAUUUUAUAAUACAUCCUCCAACAAAAUGUUAAGACUGGGAGUAUACUACAAGUAUUCAUAUUUAGCACUGUUGGAUAGUAACCAGGUGGUAAGAAUUAAGUAGUAGAGUCAUGCUAGUGCGAAACUAAUGUUCCAUCUUUAUAAGUUAUGUUCCAGAUGGUUAUUGGUUGAAGUCAGCCUCAAUAAGGGCCUUCAUUUGGAUGGAGGACUGGCCCGUAUUUUGUCGCAUCCUCCUGCUUAGUGCAUGUGAAUUAUUUUUGGGUUUACCACUUAACUUUUUUGUGACAUAACCAAGGACCAAAUCUGGAUUCCAGAAGGGAGGUGACAACUGGCUUGAGUACACAGAAUGUGACUUGAAAGAGGAGUGGU
Molecule: long non-coding RNA, 878 nt
Organism: Nerophis ophidion (straightnose pipefish)
Lineage: Eukaryota; Metazoa; Chordata; Actinopteri; Syngnathiformes; Syngnathidae
Exons: 5
Source: RefSeq, a predicted model, not a curated record